This 478-nucleotide ribosomal RNA is filed under the name uncultured bacterium. RNAcentral describes it as "partial 16S ribosomal RNA". It matches the Rfam family "Bacterial small subunit ribosomal RNA", at positions 28 to 523 of the family's 1533-position model. The record is from RNAcentral.
GACGAACGCUGGCGGCGUGCUUAACACAUGCAAGUCGAACGGUAAGGCCCUUCGGGGUACACGAGUGGCGAACGGGUGAGUAACACGUGGGUGAUCUGCCCUGCACUUCGGGAUAAGCCUGGGAAACUGGGUCUAAUACCGGAUAGGACUCCGGACUGCAUGGUCUGGGGUGGAAAGCUUUUGCGGUGUGGGAUGGGCCCGCGGCCUAUCAGCUUGUUGGUGGGGUGAUGGCCUACCAAGGCGACGACGGGUAGCCGGCCUGAGAGGGUAACCGGCCACACUGGGACUGAGAUACGGCCCAGACUCCUACGGGAGGCAGCAGGUGGGAAUAUUGCACAAUGGGCGCAAGCCUGAGGCAGCGACGCCGCGUGAGGGAUGACGGCCUUCGGGUUGUAAACCUCUUUCAGCAUCGACGAAGCGAAAGUGACGGUAGGUGCAGAAGAAGGACCGGCCAACUACGUGCCAGCCGCCGCCGUAA